AUACGUAGGGUGCAAGCGUUAAUCGGAAUUACUGGGCGUAAAGCGUGCGCAGGCGGUUUUGUAAGACAGUGGUGAAAUCCCCGGGCUCAACCUGGGAACUGCCAUUGUGACUGCAAGGCUGGAGUGCGGCAGAGGGGGAUGGAAUUCCGCGUGUAGCAGUGGAAUGCGUAGAUAUGCGGAGGAACACCGAUGGCGAAGGCAAUCCCCUGGGCCUGCACUGACGCUCAUGCACGAAAGCGUGGGGAGCAAACAGGAUUAGAUACCCUGGUAGUCCACGCCCUAAACGAUGUCAACUGGUUGUUGGGGAUUUAUUUUCUCAGUAACGAAGCUAACGCGUGAAGUUGACCGCCUGGGGAGUACGGCCAAGGUUAAAACUCAAAGGAAUUGACGGGG
RNAcentral lists this ribosomal RNA (393 nucleotides) under uncultured bacterium. RNAcentral describes it as "partial 16S ribosomal RNA". It matches the Rfam family "Bacterial small subunit ribosomal RNA", at positions 523 to 918 of the family's 1533-position model. The record is from RNAcentral.